GUCAUUAUAGUUUAACAAAAAUAUUAGAAUGUGAGCCUAAAAAUAGAAGUUUAAUUCUUCUUAAUGACC
RNAcentral lists this transfer RNA (69 nucleotides) under Pseudemoia rawlinsoni. RNAcentral describes it as "tRNA-His". It matches the Rfam family "tRNA". From Rfam's summary of the family: Transfer RNA (tRNA) molecules are approximately 80 nucleotides in length. Their secondary structure includes four short double-helical elements and three loops (D, anti-codon, and T loops). Lineage: Eukaryota; Metazoa; Chordata; Lepidosauria; Squamata; Scincidae. The record is from RNAcentral.